GACGAACGCUGGCGGCGUGCUUAACACAUGCAAGUCGAACGGAAAGGCCCUGCUUUUGUUGGGUGCUCGAGUGGCGAACGGGUGAGUAACACGUGAGUAACCUGCCCUUGACUUUGGGAUAACUUCAGGAAACUGGGGCUAAUACCGGAUAGGAGCUCCUGCUGCAUGGUGGGGGUUGGAAAGUUUCGGCGGUUGGGGAUGGACUCGCGGCUUAUCAGCUUGUUGGUGGGGUAGUGGCUUACCAAGGCUUUGACGGGUAGCCGGCCUGAGAGGGUGACCGGCCACAUUGGGACUGAGAUACGGAGCAGACUCCUACGGGAGGCAGCAGUGGGGAAUAUUGCACAAUGGGCGGAAGCCUGAUGCAGCGACGCCGCGUGCGGGAUGACGGCCUUCGGGUUGUAAACCGCUUUAGCCUGUGACGAAGCGUGAGUGACGGUAAUGGGUAAAGAAGCACCGGCUAACUACGUG
RNAcentral lists this ribosomal RNA (468 nucleotides) under uncultured bacterium. RNAcentral's name for it is "partial 16S ribosomal RNA". It matches the Rfam family "Bacterial small subunit ribosomal RNA", at positions 28 to 507 of the family's 1533-position model. The record is from RNAcentral.